This 469-nucleotide ribosomal RNA is filed under the name Periope sp. JM362. RNAcentral describes it as "eukaryotic LSU rRNA". Lineage: Eukaryota; Metazoa; Arthropoda; Insecta; Hymenoptera; Ichneumonidae. The record is from RNAcentral.
CCUGAGAAACCCAAAAGAUCGAAUGGGGAGAUUCAUCGUCAGCGAGCCUGGCACGUGUACGGUUCGUGAUGUCGGAGGCUUCGGUCUCUCGGCACUCGUCCGUGUUUGUUUUUUGCCAGGUUUCGUCGGCGUGCACUUCUCCCCUAGUAGGACGUCGCGACCCGUUGGGUGUCGGUCUACGGCCCGGGCGGUUGCCUGUCACGUGUUCGCUUCACGGCGUCGCGUGGCAGACCCCCGGUUGUCUGACCAGCUGCUCGGCGGUACUCGCACGGUAUCGAGCCGCAGAUAUUCAAACUGCGUCCGGCCCGCCGCAAGCGAGGCCAGCGUUUCCCGGAUGUACGGACCUAGCGCCGUCACCGGGCCUGGCCAGCUGUUGGCUGGCGGUGUCCUGGGACUGGCUCUUAAUUAUGAUUACCGGUCGGCGACGCUACUGCUUUGGGUACUUUCAGGACCCGUCUUGAAACACGGA